UUUUUUAAGUGUAACCUGGUUUAUUGGGCUCUCGGCGUAUUCUUGCGUUCCUUCUGCACUGGGACAAGACACCACUGCACUAUUGGACUACGGCAAGCUGGUGCCGUCCGGUGGAGCUUCAUACAGGAACUACUGCCUUACCUGCUGGUGUCACAACGUUGGAUGAACGCACAAAAAGCGCGGAACGAGCUUUUAUAUAGAGCAAAAUAAAUAUUUCCUCAUUGCACAAAA
This is a long non-coding RNA of Dermacentor silvarum, 231 nucleotides long. RefSeq lists it as uncharacterized. The transcript is spliced from 2 exons. The record is from RefSeq and is a predicted model, not a curated record. Lineage: Eukaryota; Metazoa; Arthropoda; Arachnida; Ixodida; Ixodidae.